GCAUCUGUAGCUGAGUGGUUUAGCUCUGGGCUCUUAACCCGGAGACGGAGGUUCGAUUCCUCCCAGAUGCA
This 71-nucleotide transfer RNA is filed under the name Gordonia phage Remus. It matches the Rfam family "tRNA". From Rfam's summary of the family: Transfer RNA (tRNA) molecules are approximately 80 nucleotides in length. Their secondary structure includes four short double-helical elements and three loops (D, anti-codon, and T loops). The record is from Rfam by way of RNAcentral. Lineage: Duplodnaviria; Heunggongvirae; Uroviricota; Caudoviricetes.